Molecule: unclassified non-coding RNA, 377 nt
Filed under: uncultured Simkaniaceae bacterium
Lineage: Bacteria; Pseudomonadati; Chlamydiota; Chlamydiia; Parachlamydiales; Simkaniaceae
Description: contains 16S-23S intergenic spacer region
Source: RNAcentral
UCCUAGUUAACCUAGGCAGUCUCAUUAGAGUCCCCACCUUAAAUGUUGGCAACUAAUGAUAAGGGUUGCGCUCGUUGCGGGACUUAACCCAACACCUCACGGCACGAGCUGACGACAGCCAUGCAGCACCUAUACACGCGUCCUUUCGGAAGAUAUCAUUUCUGCUAUCGCCGCGUGCAUUUCGAGCCCAGGUAAGGUUCUUCGCGUUGCAUCGAAUUAAACCACAUGCUCCACUGCUUGUGCGGGCCCCCGUCAAUUCUUUUGAGUUUCAGCCUUGCGACUGUACUUCCCAGGCGGUAUACUUAUCGCGUUAGCUUCGACACAGCCAGGGUUGAGCCUAGCUACAUCAAGUAUACAUCGUUUAGGGCAUGGACUAC